UUUGCAUCUGUGGACAUGGUUGCUGGUGGCAGCUUGGGAGAAAAAUGGAGUCUUUCCCCAGGGUGAUAAUUAUGUGCAGCAGAUUGAAUCCCUGCCCUUUCCUGCAUGGAAUCUACCUAUGUCUAUUGGGCUGAACUCCAGCAACUCACAGUUGAAAUCAAGAUUGCACUCUCAGGAUGCCUCAAGAAGCUGUGGAUGCUGUCCAGAGAAACUGUGGAUGCCCCA
Long non-coding RNA from Oxyura jamaicensis (ruddy duck), 225 nucleotides. RefSeq lists it as uncharacterized. The transcript is spliced from 3 exons. The record is from RefSeq and is a predicted model, not a curated record. NCBI's taxonomy places the organism in Eukaryota, Metazoa, Chordata, Aves, Anseriformes, Anatidae.